This 374-nucleotide unclassified non-coding RNA is filed under the name uncultured bacterium. RNAcentral describes it as "contains 16S-23S intergenic spacer region". The record is from RNAcentral.
UCCGGUUUGUCACCGGCAGUCUCGCAUGAGUCCCCAACUAAAUGCUGGCAACAUGCGACGGGGGUUGCGCUCGUUGCGGGACUUAACCCAACAUCUCACGACACGAGCUGACGACAGCCAUGCACCACCUGUGAUCCUGCCCCGAAGGGAAGCCCUGUUUCCAGGGAGAUCAGGAACAUGUCAAGAGCCGGUAAGGUUCUGCGCGUUGCUUCGAAUUGAACCACAUGCUCCACCGCUUGUGCGGGCCCCCAUCAAUUCCUUUGAGUUUUAAUCUUGCGACCGUACUCCCCAGGCGGGAUGCUUAAUGCGUUAGCUGCGCCACUGACGAGUAAACCCGCCAACGGCUAGCAUCCAUCGUUUACGGCGUGGACUAC